AAAUUCAUUGUCAGGAGGAACUUCCAGAACUUUUGAAGCUGGUAAAGAAUUGUCACCAUCUGUCUUUACCCCUGGAGCCAGCUUCUCUGCUUCAGUUUUGCUUUCAGGUUUGACAGCAUCAACUUUUGUUUCCGGCUUCACAUCAAUUGUCUCAACCCCUCCUGAUUCCUUGGACGUUUCAGCUUGUGCUUCCAACUUCAGUAUGUCUUUGCCAACAGACUUGCCUUCCUGGAAUAUACUCAGUCCAUGGGACAAACUCCUGGAUGAUAUAAUAAGUUUUCCAUUUCUGUAUUCAGGAUCUUUGGUAUUCAUUAAAUGAUAAGAAAUUGCAGAUACCACAAUCUCUUCUAUGUAGUUACUGAGAACCAUUGUAUCUGCCAUGCAGAUCAAGUCAAGAUCAUCACAAUCAAGAUCAUUGGAUGACAAUACUUCCAUGAUAUGGUUUUUAUUAUCCUGAACUUGGAUCAUCUUCAUAUCUGCCUCCAGUUGGGAUUUCCAGCUGAGAAGACGGGUUUCAUCUUCAGGAGGCCUAAUCUCAAUGUUGUAAGGGAAAACAGCAAGAAGCCUCUCAUCCAGUUCUCUGUUGUCAUUACCCAGAUCCACAAUUUGUGAACCAAGGAUCAGCACUGAUCCAGACAAUUUCUUCAGCAGCUUCUGGAACAAAUUAUAUAUCCUCUGCGAUCUAGAUAAGAACUUAUCAACAUCCCUAAGAUACAGCACAAUGGGACUGGCUUUAGACACAUACACCAAAACCUUGUAAAGGGACUGUAUAAAAAGCUUCUCAUCAAAAGACCAACUGCUUGUGCGCUUCAAAGGAGCUGUACUUGCAGGACUGCAUUGUGUAGCUAGGUUACUUAUAUUAGCUGUUGAGGCAUUUCUUCGUAGCUUAGGAGCAUUAGAGGAAUCUUCAAUCCCCCUUGAAGAAAUAUCCACGCCACUGUAUUGCCUUCGUAGACCGCCUUUUGGUGGUUCUUUCUGAGGACGAACUGAAAGUGAUCCAAGGAAGCCAGACAGUCGCUCCAGUGUAGACUCUGAAGUAGACCUCUUGAAAGACGAUUCUUUCAACGCAUUACCAUAUUUGCUCUGAAUCUUUAGAGAAAAGUCAGUAACAUCUAGCAGCAGCAAUUUAGUUUCAAAGUAAUGAGCUAAAGCCUUG
Molecule: unclassified non-coding RNA, 1156 nt
Filed under: Hevea brasiliensis (rubber tree)
Lineage: Eukaryota; Viridiplantae; Streptophyta; Magnoliopsida; Malpighiales; Euphorbiaceae
Source: RNAcentral